This 735-nucleotide ribosomal RNA is filed under the name uncultured bacterium. Its description in RNAcentral is "bacterial SSU rRNA". It matches the Rfam family "Bacterial small subunit ribosomal RNA", at positions 28 to 776 of the family's 1533-position model. The record is from RNAcentral.
GACGAACGCUGGCGGCGCGUCUAACACAUGCAAGUCGAACGAGAGAGAGGAAGCUUGCUUCCUUAAUCGAGUGGCGAACGGGUGAGUAACGCGUGAGGAACCUGCCUCAAAGAGGGGGACAACAGUUGGAAACGACUGCUAAUACCGCAUAAGCCCACAGCUCGGCAUCGAGCAGAGGGAAAAGGAGUGAUCCGCUUUGAGAUGGCCUCGCGUCCGAUUAGCUGGUUGGUGAGGUAACGGCCCACCAAGGCGACGAUCGGUAGCCGGACUGAGAGGUUGAACGGCCACAUUGGGACUGAGACACGGCCCAGACUCCUACGGGAGGCAGCAGUGGGGAAUAUUGCACAAUGGGGGAAACCCUGAUGCAGCGACGCCGCGUGGAGGAAGAAGGUCUUCGGAUUGUAAACUCCUGUUGUUGAGGAAGAUAAUGACGGUACUCAACAAGGAAGUGACGGCUAACUACGUGCCAGCAGCCGCGGUAAAACGUAGGUCACAAGCGUUGUCCGGAAUUACUGGGUGUAAAGGGAGCGCAGGCGGGAAAGCAAGUUGGAAGUGAAAUCCAUGGGCUCAACCCAUGAACUGCUUUCAAAACUGUUUUUCUUGAGUAGUGCAGAGGUAGGCGGAAUUCCCGGUGUAGCGGUGGAAUGCGUAGAUAUCGGGAGGAACACCAGUGGCGAAGGCGGCCUACUGGGCACCAACUGACGCUGAGGCUCGAAAGUGUGGGUAGCAAACAGG